GCACCUAUGGAGCAGUAGUUCAGCUCAUUCCCCUCCCAUGAUUUGCCUCACUGGCAGCUUGGUUAGGGAAAGACCCGGGUGCGAAUCCCGGUGGGUGCA
This is a non-coding RNA of Hypoxylon trugodes, 99 nucleotides long. NCBI's taxonomy places the organism in Eukaryota, Fungi, Ascomycota, Sordariomycetes, Xylariales, Hypoxylaceae. The record is from the annotation of a RefSeq genome assembly.